AAAAUCUAUCCUAGGCACAUUUUUUUUUAUCUCCCUCUGGCAGAAGCUGAAAGGAGCAAUUUCAAUCACUUAUGCAUUUUGCAGACCUUUGGUCACAUCUACCCUUGCACCAUCCUGUUAGUCAAAGCAAGUCACUUUCCAAGUCAGGCAAGGACGUUUCAGUCAGGCUUCGGCAACUGAUAUAAAUACUGCCAUACGUUGUGCCAAUGAAGCUCUUAAAGGAUUUAAGGCACUCCAAGUAUUAACACCUGAGAAUGCUUCAGUUGAAUGUUGCAUCUGUAAAAUCACAGCUAACUUAAAUGGUCUAAUUUACCUAAAUUUAUUGGACAAAGCAAAUCACAAAAAUGUACUUAAUUUCUGGAAUACAGUCAAAGACCAAGAUGAAGAAUACCCAGCAUAUCUGAAAAACUCAAAUUCAACACGCAGAAAGUUUAUAGAUGAGAUGUUCCACUGAUUCAAACCUGUAAAGAAGAAAAUAAGAAAACCAAAAGGUAAUACUUAUUAUCUCAGAAUAAAGUGCUAUUCUUUCAAAAAGGAGCUGAACU
RNAcentral lists this long non-coding RNA (545 nucleotides) under Rhinopithecus bieti (black snub-nosed monkey). RNAcentral describes it as "lncRNA (ENSRBIG00000046303.1)". The record is from RNAcentral. Lineage: Eukaryota; Metazoa; Chordata; Mammalia; Primates; Cercopithecidae.